UGGGGAAUAUUGGACAAUGGGCGAAAGCCUGAUCCAGCCAUGCCGCGUGUGUGAAGAAGGUCUUCGGAUUGUAAAGCACUUUAAGUUGGGAGGAAGGGCAGUAAGCGAAUACCUUGCUGUUUUGACGUUACCGACAGAAUAAGCACCGGCUAACUCUGUGCCAGCAGCCGCGGUAAUACAGAGGGUGCCAGCGUUAAUCGGAAUUACUGGGCGUAAAGCGCGCGUAGGUGGUUCGUUAAGUUGAAUGUGAAAGCCCCGGGCUCAACCUGGGAACUGCAUCCAAAACUGGCGAGCUAGAGUAGGGCAGAGGGUGGUGGAAUUUCCUGUGUAGCGGUGAAAUGCGUAGAUAUAGGAAGGAACACCAGUGGCGAAGGCGACCACCUGGGCUCAUACUGACACUGAGGUGCGAAAGCGUGGGGAGCAAACAGG
RNAcentral lists this ribosomal RNA (429 nucleotides) under Pseudomonadota bacterium. RNAcentral's name for it is "Proteobacteria bacterium partial 16S ribosomal RNA". It matches the Rfam family "Bacterial small subunit ribosomal RNA", at positions 355 to 776 of the family's 1533-position model. Lineage: Bacteria; Pseudomonadati; Pseudomonadota. The record is from RNAcentral.